AGGAAAGUCGAUCCUCGCGUCGAGCCCGUCGUUUUGAGACCUGGAUGAGGAGCCUAAAGAGCAUGAAUCUGAUGAGGAGAUCCUUGUUGAGGAACCCGAAGAGGAGUACGUGGAGGAGAACCCCGAGGAUCAUCCGGAGUAGGAUUCUGAUGACGAUUGUUAUAAAAUCAAUUUGAGUAGAAACCAAUCGAUUUAGUAUGGCUUGUAUAUGAGCAUAAGGGUGUUGGUUUUCAGGUUCAAUUUCCUAGUCCUACUUGUAUAUCUCAUUGCUUUAUUGUUUGGGGAUUUUAUGACUGCUUCCGCAUGUGCAUAUAUAAAUGAAAGGGUCGGCGAUACAUA
Long non-coding RNA from Eucalyptus grandis, 339 nucleotides. RefSeq lists it as uncharacterized. The record is from RefSeq and is a predicted model, not a curated record. The transcript is spliced from 2 exons. Lineage: Eukaryota; Viridiplantae; Streptophyta; Magnoliopsida; Myrtales; Myrtaceae.